UUACCUUUAGUGGUACAUAUAAUCAAAUUAAAUUGAUACAGAUAACAUUAGUAUGGCCUGUUGGUAAGGAAGAGGUGCAGGAUCAUGAAGGUUUUAUAUUUAU
Molecule: small nuclear RNA, 103 nt
Filed under: Schistosoma mansoni
Lineage: Eukaryota; Metazoa; Platyhelminthes; Trematoda; Strigeidida; Schistosomatidae
Source: RNAcentral